RNAcentral lists this non-coding RNA (31 nucleotides) under Homo sapiens (human). The record is from RNAcentral. Lineage: Eukaryota; Metazoa; Chordata; Mammalia; Primates; Hominidae.
UGACCAAGCCCUGCAGACUGGGUCCCACUGA